UACGUAGGGUGCGAGCGUUAAUCGGAAUUACUGGGCGUAAAGCGUGCGCAGGCGGUCUGUUAAGACAGAUGUGAAAUCCCCGGGCUUAACCUGGGAACUGCAUUUGUGACUGGCAGGCUAGAGUAUGGCAGAGGGGGGUAGAAUUCCACGUGUAGCAGUGAAAUGCGUAGAGAUGUGGAGGAAUACCGAUGGCGAAGGCCGCCCCCUGGGCCAAUACUGACGCUCAUGCACGAAAGCGUGGGGAGCAAACAGG
This 253-nucleotide ribosomal RNA is filed under the name uncultured bacterium. RNAcentral's name for it is "partial 16S ribosomal RNA". It matches the Rfam family "Bacterial small subunit ribosomal RNA", at positions 524 to 776 of the family's 1533-position model. The record is from RNAcentral.